Molecule: transfer RNA, 73 nt
Filed under: Collybiopsis luxurians FD-317 M1
Lineage: Eukaryota; Fungi; Basidiomycota; Agaricomycetes; Agaricales; Omphalotaceae
Description: tRNA-Arg (TCT) (tRNA-Arg-TCT-3-1)
Rfam family: tRNA
About the family: Transfer RNA (tRNA) molecules are approximately 80 nucleotides in length. Their secondary structure includes four short double-helical elements and three loops (D, anti-codon, and T loops). Further hydrogen bonds mediate the characteristic L-shaped molecular structure. tRNAs have two regions of fundamental functional importance: the anti-codon, which is responsible for specific mRNA codon recognition, and the 3' end, to which the tRNAs corresponding amino acid is attached (by aminoacyl-tRNA synthetases). tRNAs cope with the degeneracy of the genetic code in two manners: having more than one tRNA (with a specific anti-codon) for a particular amino acid; and 'wobble' base-pairing, i.e. permitting non-standard base-pairing at the 3rd anti-codon position.
Source: RNAcentral
GCCCCAUUUGUCUAAUGGUUAUGACGUCAGACUUCUAAUCUGGAGGUUGCGGGUUCGAGUCCCGCAUGGGGUU